UACGGAGGGUGCAAGCGUUAUCCGGAUUCACUGGGUUUAAAGGGUGUGCAGGCGGAUUAAUAAGUCAGUGGUGAAAUCCUACAGCUCAACUGUAGAACUGCCAUUGAUACUGUUAGUCUAGAGUAUGGUUGAAGUGGCUGGAAUGUGUCAUGUAGCGGUGAAAUGCAUAGAUAUGACACAGAACACCGACGGCGAAGGCAGGUCACUAAACCAUUACUGACGCUCAUACACGAAAGCGUGGGGAGCAAACAGG
RNAcentral lists this ribosomal RNA (253 nucleotides) under uncultured bacterium. RNAcentral describes it as "partial 16S ribosomal RNA". It matches the Rfam family "Bacterial small subunit ribosomal RNA", at positions 524 to 776 of the family's 1533-position model. The record is from RNAcentral.